AAACCAGCACCUCAAGUGGUCAGGAUGAUUAUUGGGCCUAAAGCAUCCGUAGCCUGCUUUGUCAGUUUUCGGUUAAAUCCAUACGCUCAACGUAUGGGCUGCCGGAAAUACUGCAAAGCUAGGGAGUGGGAGAGGUAGACGGUACUCGGGAGGAAGGGGUAAAAUCCUUUGAUCUCUCGAUGACCACCUGUGGCGAAGGCGGUCUACCAGAACACGUCCGACGGUGAGGGAUGAAAGCUGGGGGAGCAAACCGGAUUAGAUACCCCAGUAGUCC
RNAcentral lists this ribosomal RNA (274 nucleotides) under uncultured bacterium. RNAcentral describes it as "partial 16S ribosomal RNA". It matches the Rfam family "Archaeal small subunit ribosomal RNA", at positions 473 to 747 of the family's 1478-position model. The record is from RNAcentral.